GAGCGGUAGCACGGGAGAGCUUGCUCUCUGGGUGACGAGCGGCGGACGGGUGAGUAAUGUCUGGGAAACUGCCUGAUGGAGGGGGAUAACUACUGGAAACGGUAGCUAAUACCGCAUGAUGUCGCAAGACCAAAGUGGGGGACCUUCGGGCCUCACGCCAUCGGAUGUGCCCAGAUGGGAUUAGCUAGUAGGUGGGGUAAUGGCUCACCUAGGCGACGAUCCCUAGCUGGUCUGAGAGGAUGACCAGCCACACUGGAACUGAGACACGGUCCAGACUCCUACGGGAGGCAGCAGUGGGGAAUAUUGCACAAUGGGCGCAAGCCUGAUGCAGCCAUGCCGCGUGUGUGAAGAAGGCCUUAGGGUUGUAAAGCACUUUCAGCGAGGAGGAAGGCGUUGUAGUUAAUAGCUGCAGCGAUUGACGUUACUCGCAGAAGAAGCACCGGCUAACUCCGUG
Molecule: ribosomal RNA, 454 nt
Filed under: uncultured bacterium
Lineage: Bacteria
Description: bacterial SSU rRNA
Rfam family: Bacterial small subunit ribosomal RNA
Source: RNAcentral